AUUACCGAGUUAUUCAACUCAUCAACCCUGUGAACAUACCUAAACGUUGCUUCGGCGGGAAUAGACGGCCCCGUGAAACGGGCCGCCCCCGCCAGAGGACCCUUAACUCUGUUUCUAUAAUGUUUCUUCUGAGUAAAACAAGCAAAUAAAUUAAAACUUUCAACAACGGAUCUCUUGGCUCUGGCAUCGAUGAAGAACGCAGCGAAAUGCGAUAAGUAAUGUGAAUUGCAGAAUUCAGUGAAUCAUCGAAUCUUUGAACGCACAUUGCGCCCGCCAGUAUUCUGGCGGGCAUGCCUGUUCGAGCGUCAUUACAACCCUCAGGCCCCCGGGCCUGGCGUUGGGGAUCGGCGGAGCCCUUUGUGGGCACACGCCGUCCCCCAAAUACAGUGGCGGUCCCGCCGCAGCUUCCAUCGCGUAGUAGCUAACACCUCGCGACUGGAGAGCGGCGCGGCCACGCCGUAAAACACCCAACUCUUCUGAAGUUGACCUCGAAUCAGGUAGGAAUACCCGCUGAACUUAAGCAUAUCAAUAAGCGGAGGAA
Molecule: ribosomal RNA, 541 nt
Filed under: Fusarium cf. solani IPBCC 08.560
Lineage: Eukaryota; Fungi; Ascomycota; Sordariomycetes; Hypocreales; Nectriaceae
Description: eukaryotic LSU rRNA
Rfam family: 5.8S ribosomal RNA (bases 155-308)
Source: RNAcentral